CUGCNGUCGACGAUUCCUACGGGAGGCAGCAGUGAGGAAUAUUGCGCAAUGGGGGAAACCCUGACGCAGCAACGCCGCGUGGGUGAUGAAGGCCUUCGGGUCGUAAAACCCUUUUCUGGGGGAAGAGAAAGGACGGUACCUCAGGAAUAAGUCCCGGCUAACUACGUGCCAGCAGCCGCGGUAAAACGUAGGGGGCGAGCGUUAUCCGGAUUUACUGGGCGUAAAGCGCGUGCAGGCGGCUUGGUAGGUUGGACGUGAAAGCUCUUGGCUCAACUGAGAGAGGUCGUUCAAUACCGCCAAGCUUGAGGGCGGAAGAGGGGAGCGGAAUUCCCGGUGUAGUGGUGGAAUGCGUAGAUAUCGGGAGGAACACCCGUGGCGAAGGCGGCUCCCUGGUCCGCACCUGACGCUGAGACGCGAAAGCGUGGGUAGUAAACAGGAUUAGAUACCCUGGUAGUCCACGCCGUAAACGAUGAGUGCUAGGUGUUAGGGGUUUCGACGCCCUUAGUGCCGCAGUUAACGCAAUAAGCACUCCGCCUGGGGAGUACGGUCGCAAGACUGAAACUCAAAGGAAUUGACGG
Molecule: ribosomal RNA, 578 nt
Filed under: uncultured Chloroflexota bacterium
Lineage: Bacteria; Bacillati; Chloroflexota
Description: bacterial SSU rRNA
Rfam family: Bacterial small subunit ribosomal RNA
Source: RNAcentral